Molecule: ribosomal RNA, 458 nt
Filed under: uncultured bacterium
Lineage: Bacteria
Description: bacterial SSU rRNA
Rfam family: Bacterial small subunit ribosomal RNA
Source: RNAcentral
AUAAACGCUGGCGGCGUGCUUCAGGCAUGCAAGUCGAACGAGUCUCCGACUUCGGUCGGAGUACUAGUGGCGGACGGGUGAGUAACACGUAAGUAACCUGCCCAGAAGUGGGGAAUAACCCGCCGAAAGGCGAGCUAAUACCGCAUAUGAUGGUUUUUCUGCGGAGAGAUCAUUAAAGGCGUAAGUCGCUUCUGGAGGGGCUUGCGGUCGAUUAGCCAGUUGGUGGGGUAACGGCCUACCAAAGCGACGAUCGAUAGCUGGUCUGAGAGGACGGACAGCCACACGGGGACUGAGAUACGGCCCCGACUCCUACGGGAGGCAGCAGCUAGGAAUCUUGGGAAUGGGCGAAAGCCUGACCCAGCAACGCCGCGUGGGCGAUGAAGGCCUUCGGGUCGUAAAGCCCUUUUGCAGGGGAAGAUGAUGACGGUACCCUGCGAAUAAGCCACGGCUAACUACGU